RNAcentral lists this ribosomal RNA (442 nucleotides) under uncultured bacterium. RNAcentral describes it as "partial 16S ribosomal RNA". It matches the Rfam family "Bacterial small subunit ribosomal RNA", at positions 338 to 795 of the family's 1533-position model. The record is from RNAcentral.
CCUACGGGCGGCUGCAGUGGGGAAUAUUGGGCAAUGGGCGCAAGCCUGACCCAGCAAUGCCGCGUGAAGGAAGAAGGCUUUCGGGUUGUAAACUUCUUUGACAGGGGAAGAGCAGAAGACGGUACCCUGAAAACAAGCCACGGCUAACUACGUGCCAGCAGCCGCGGUAAUACGUAGGUGGCAAGCGUUGUCCGGAUUUACUGGGUGUAAAGGGCGUGUAGCCGGGAAGGCAAGUCAGAUGUGAAAUCUGGAGGCUCAACCUCCAAAUUACAGUUGAAAAUGUUUUUCUUGAGUACUGGAGAGGCAGACGGAAUUCCUUGUGUAGCGGUGAAAUGCGUAGAUAUAAGGAGGAACACCAGUGGCGAAGGCGGUCUGCUGGACAGCAACUGACGGUGAGGCGCGAAAGCGUGGGGAGCAAACAGGAUUAGAUACCCCAGUAGUC